Molecule: non-coding RNA, 120 nt
Filed under: Candidatus Brocadia
Lineage: Bacteria; Pseudomonadati; Planctomycetota; Candidatus Brocadiia; Candidatus Brocadiales; Candidatus Brocadiaceae
Also listed under: 1 other name
Description: c-di-GMP sequence
Rfam family: c-di-GMP-I riboswitch aptamer
About the family: GEMM was predicted in a large-scale screen for bacterial structured RNA regulatory elements.
Source: RNAcentral
UCGCGAUAAAGACAAACCCUGAGUGAUCAGGUGGCGCAAAGUAAAGGGUCUUUUAAACAGACCAAGAGCGCAGUUUAUAAAAGACCGCUUGUUGGGAAAAAAGAUAGCCUUACUGCCGAA